This is a long non-coding RNA of Pongo pygmaeus (Bornean orangutan), 544 nucleotides long. RefSeq lists it as uncharacterized. The transcript is spliced from 2 exons. Lineage: Eukaryota; Metazoa; Chordata; Mammalia; Primates; Hominidae. The record is from RefSeq and is a predicted model, not a curated record.
AACUGAGGCAAGGAGCCUUGAAGUCACAGGUCAAGAGUAAGAGGCAAGGCCGGGAUUCGAACCGAGUCCGAGAGCCCGGGACCUGCUCGACCGCUUCCCCACGGGCCUCCGGCGCCCACUUGGGGGCUAAGGCGCCCCCGCCGCCGGGCCCCUCCGGACGCCGAGGCCAGCCGAGAUCGGGCCGCCGGCCAGGCUGCUGGGCGCCGCGCCCGUCCGCAUCACGCCGCGGUCGGACACAGUGGCUCACGCCUAUAAUCGCAGCACUUUAGGAAGCCGAAGCUGGUGGAUCACUUGAUGUCAGGAGUUCAAGACCAGCAUGGGCAAAAUGGUGAAACUCCGUCUCUACUAAAAAUACAAAAAUUAGCCGAGCGUGAUGGCCAGCACCUGUAAUCCCGGCUACUCGGGAGACUGAGGCAGGAGAAUCGCUUGAACCUGGGAGGCAGAGGUUGCAGUGGGCCGAGAUCGUGCCACUGCACUCCAGCCUGGGUGACAAGAGUGAAACUCCGUCUCAAAAAUAAUAAUAAUAAAAAUUAAAAAUAGUGUU